AGAGUUUGAUCCUGGCUCAGAACGAACGCUGGCGGCAUGGAUUAGGCAUGCAAGUUGAACGAACUCCUUCGGGAGUGAGUAGCGAAAGGGUGAGGAACGCGUGAGUAAUCUGCCCAUAAGUUGGGAACAACAGUUGGAAACGACUGCUAAUACCGAAUGUGGCUAUUGACCCGCAUGGGUUUUUGGCUAAAGAUUUAUCGCUUAUGGAUGAGCUCGCGUCCCAUUAGCUAGUUGGUGAGGUAACGGCCCACCAAGGCUACGAUGGGUAGCUGGUCUGAGAGGAUGGUCAGCCACACUGGGACUGAGACACUGCCCAGACUCCUACGGGAGGCUGCAGUCGAGAAUCUUGGGCAAUGCGCGAAAGCGUGACCCAGCAAUGCCGCGUGCAUGAUGAAGGCCCUCGGGUCGUAAAAUGCUGUCUCCCGUGACGAAUAAUGACGGUAGCGGGGAAGGAAGCCACGGCUAACUACGUGCCAGCAGCCGCGGUAAUACGUAGGUGGCGAGCGUUGUUCGGAUUUAUUGGGCGUAAAGGGUCUGUAGGAGGUUUGUUAAAUACGAGGUGAAAUCCGGGGGCUCAACUUCCGAAUUGCCUUGUAGACUGAUGAACUAGAGUACUGGAGAGGUAAGCGGAAUACCAGGUGUAGCGGUGGAAUGCGUAGAUAUCUGGUAGAACACCAAUAGCGAAGGCAGCUUGCUGGACAGAAACUGACUCUGAAAGACGAAAGCAUGGGGAGCAAACAGGAUUAGAUACCCUGGUAGUCCAUGCCGUAAACGUUGUCAACUUGAUGUGGGCGGAUUUAGUCCUGUCCGUAUCGAAGCUAACGCGAUAAGUUGACCGCCUGGGAACUACGGCCGCAAGGCUAAAACUCAAAGGAAUUGACGGGGGCCCGCACAAGCGGUGGAGCAUGUGGCUUAAUUCGAGGCAACGCGAAGAACCUUACCUGGGCUUGAAAUAUACCGGACCGGCUGUGAAAGCAGUCUUCUCUUCGGAGCUG
Molecule: ribosomal RNA, 995 nt
Filed under: human gut metagenome
Description: bacterial SSU rRNA
Rfam family: Bacterial small subunit ribosomal RNA
Source: RNAcentral